RNAcentral lists this small RNA (140 nucleotides) under Actinoplanes missouriensis. RNAcentral describes it as "c-di-AMP sequence". It matches the Rfam family "c-di-AMP riboswitch aptamer (ydaO/yuaA leader)". Rfam says of the family: This family represents a conserved RNA structure found upstream of the ydaO and yuaA genes in Bacillus subtilis and related genes in other bacteria. The ydaO/yuaA element is thought to act as a genetic "off" switch for the ydaO and yuaA genes in its native state. Lineage: Bacteria; Bacillati; Actinomycetota; Actinomycetes; Micromonosporales; Micromonosporaceae. The record is from RNAcentral. RNAcentral also lists the same sequence under 1 other name.
CGGGGACCGCCGCCUAAUCGCCCUCGCGGCGAGCCGGGGAACCAUAUUUCCUCGGGGUGAAUCCGCCUUUUGAAGGUGGUAGGGAUUGCUUCCGUCCCGAACCCGUCAGCUAACUCGGUCGGCGGCCGACGGAAGGAUUC